UCAUUAAGAAGCUAUGAAUCAGCAUUAGCCUUUUAAGCUAAAGAAAGAGGGGUCCCUCCCUCCUUAAUGGU
This 71-nucleotide transfer RNA is filed under the name Quiscalus quiscula (common grackle). Its description in RNAcentral is "tRNA-Lys". Lineage: Eukaryota; Metazoa; Chordata; Aves; Passeriformes; Icteridae. The record is from RNAcentral.